This 742-nucleotide ribosomal RNA is filed under the name uncultured Acetobacteraceae bacterium. RNAcentral's name for it is "bacterial SSU rRNA". It matches the Rfam family "Bacterial small subunit ribosomal RNA", at positions 8 to 796 of the family's 1533-position model. Lineage: Bacteria; Pseudomonadati; Pseudomonadota; Alphaproteobacteria; Acetobacterales; Acetobacteraceae. The record is from RNAcentral.
AGAGUUUGAUCCUGGCUCAGAGCGAACGCUGGCGGAAUGCUUAACACAUGCAAGUCGCACGCCCCGCGAGGGGAGUGGCGGACGGGUGAGGAGCGCGUAGGAACGCGCCCCGAGGUGGGGGACAACCCUGGGAAACCGGGGCUAAUACCGCACGUGCCCUGCGGGGCAAAGCCGAAAGGCGCCUUGGGAGCGGCCUGCGUCCGAUUAGGUAGUUGGCGGGGUAACGGCCCACCAAGCCCGCGAUCGGUAGCCGGUCUGAGAGGACGAUCGGCCACACCGGGACUGAGACACGGCCCGGACUCCUACGGGAGGCAGCAGUGGGGAAUAUUGGGCAAUGGGCGCAAGCCUGACCCAGCAAUUCCGCGUGGGUGAAGAAGGUCUUCGGAUUGUAAAGCCCUUUCGGCGGGGACGAUGGUGACGGUACCCGCAGAAGAAGCCCCGGCCAACUUCGUGCCAGCAGCCGCGGUAAUACGAAGGGGGCUAGCGUUGCUCGGAAUCAUUGGGCGUAAAGGGCGCGUAGGCGGCCUUGUCAGUCAGGCGUGAAAUGCCCGGGCUCAACCCGGGAACGGCGCUUGAUACGACAAGGCUAGAGGGUGGAAGAGGGCCGCGGAAUUCCCAGUGUAGAGGUGAAAUUCGUAGAUAUUGGGAAGAACACCGGUGGCGAAGGCGGCGGCCUGGUCCAUUUCUGACGCUGAGGCGCGACAGCGUGGGGAGCAAACAGGAUUAGAUACCCUGGUAGUCC